AACGAACGCUGGCGGCAUGCCUAACACAUGCAAGUCGAACGAGACCUUCGGGUCUAGUGGCGCACGGGUGCGUAACGCGUGGGAACCUGCCCUUAGGUUCGGAAUAACUCCCCGAAAGGGGUGCUAAUACCGGAUAAUGUCUUCGGACCAAAGAUUUAUCGCCUUUGGAUGGGCCGCGUUGGAUUAGCUAGUUGGUAGGGUAAAAGCCUACCAAGGCGACGAUCCAUAGCUGGUCUGAGAGGAUGAUCAGCCACACUGGGACUGAGACACGGCCCAGACUCGGAGGGGGGGAGGGGGGGGGAAAUAUGGAAAAAGGGGCGAAGGCUGGACCAAGCAGUGCCGGGGGAGGAAUAAGGUCUUGGGGGUUGAAAAGCUUUUUUACCGGGAAUGAAAAUGACAGGCCGGAAAAAAAAGCCCCGGACACACCCCGUC
Molecule: ribosomal RNA, 432 nt
Filed under: uncultured bacterium
Lineage: Bacteria
Description: partial 16S ribosomal RNA
Rfam family: Bacterial small subunit ribosomal RNA
Source: RNAcentral